This 163-nucleotide non-coding RNA is filed under the name uncultured Henriciella sp. The record is from RNAcentral. Lineage: Bacteria; Pseudomonadati; Pseudomonadota; Alphaproteobacteria; Hyphomonadales; Hyphomonadaceae.
GCAGAUGGUGCCUCCUGACCGGAGGCUAAGAGGGAACCCGGUGUGAGUCCGGGGCUGUGCCCGCAACUGUCAGCCGGGAGCCAAAGGCCGGAAAACCACUGGACGUUUGAUCCGGGAAGGUGGCCAGAGGCAGCGAUCGGUGAGCCAGGAAACCUGCCAUCGC